Molecule: ribosomal RNA, 447 nt
Filed under: uncultured bacterium
Lineage: Bacteria
Description: bacterial SSU rRNA
Rfam family: Bacterial small subunit ribosomal RNA
Source: RNAcentral
UGGGGAAUAUUGGACAAUGGGCGAAAGCCUGAUCCAGCCAUGCCGCGUGAGUGACGAAGGCCUUAGGGUUGUAAAACUCUUUCGUCGGGGACGAUAAUGACGGUACCCGAAGAAGAAGCUCCGGCUAACUUCGUGCCAGCAGCCGCGGUAAUACGAAGGGAGCUAGCGUUGUUCGGAAUCACUGGGCGUAAAGCGCACGUAGGCGGCAAUUCAAGUCAUCUGUGAAAUCUCCGGGCUUAACUCGGAACGGUCAGAUGAUACUGCUUUGCUAGAGUGCAGAAGGGGCAAUCGGAAUUCUUGGUGUAGCGGUGAAAUGCGUAGAUAUCAAGAGGAACACCUGAGGUGAAGACGGGUUGCUGGGCUGACACUGACGCUGAGGCGCGAAAGCCAGGGGAGCAAACGGGAUUAGAUACCCGAGUAGUCCCUGAGCGGGCUGGCAAGGCGCAU